This 486-nucleotide ribosomal RNA is filed under the name uncultured bacterium. RNAcentral describes it as "bacterial SSU rRNA". It matches the Rfam family "Bacterial small subunit ribosomal RNA", at positions 8 to 507 of the family's 1533-position model. The record is from RNAcentral.
AGAGUUUGAUCAUGGCUCAGGACGAACGCUGGCGGCGUGCCUAACACAUGCAAGUCGAACGGAGAUGUUGAUUCGGUUGACGUCUUAGUGGCGAACGGGUGAGCAACGCGUGAACAAUCUGACCUUAAGAGGGGGAUAACAACGAGAAAUCGUUGCUAAUACCGCAUAAGACCACAAUGCCGCAUGGCGAAGGGGUCAAGGGAGCAAUCCGCUUAAGGAGGGGUUCGCGUCCCAUUAGGUAGUAGGUGAGGUAACGGCUCACCUAGCCGACGAUGGGUAGCCGAGCUGAGAGGCUGAUCGGCCACACUGGAACUGAGACACGGUCCAGACUCCUACGGGAGGCAGCAGUGGGGAAUAUUGGGCAAUGGGCGCAAGCCUGACCCAGCAACGCCGCGUGAGGGAAGAAGGUUUUCGGAUUGUAAACCUCUGUCGCAGAUGACGAAACAAAUGACGGUAAUCUGUGAGGAAGCCCCGGCUAACUACGUG